UCCCUGGUGGUCUAGUGGUUAGGAUUUGGCGCUUUCACAGCUGUGGCCGGGGUUCAAUCCCUAGUCAGGGAA
This 72-nucleotide transfer RNA is filed under the name Bos taurus (domestic cattle). It matches the Rfam family "tRNA". From Rfam's summary of the family: Transfer RNA (tRNA) molecules are approximately 80 nucleotides in length. RNAcentral also lists the same sequence under 2 other names. Lineage: Eukaryota; Metazoa; Chordata; Mammalia; Artiodactyla; Bovidae. The record is from Rfam by way of RNAcentral.